RNAcentral lists this long non-coding RNA (757 nucleotides) under Olea europaea subsp. europaea. The record is from RNAcentral. Lineage: Eukaryota; Viridiplantae; Streptophyta; Magnoliopsida; Lamiales; Oleaceae.
GACAGCUCUCCAACAAAAUCAGAAUCAUUUCAACACUUUUUUUUUAGUUAUAAUUUUUUCCUUUUAUUUUCUCCCUCAAGCACAGAAAAACCACUCCCUCGUUUCUCUUCUAAUUCUCACUCAUCACGCAUGAAUGCUAGAAAAUUUUGAUCACUCUCUUCUCAAACAAUAAUUUACCCUAAUUUGUCUUUUCACGCACAACCCCAUUCCCUCAUUUUCGGAGAUAAGACUACCAACAUGGAAGGAGAGAGAGACCAAUAAGCGGGGAGAGAGGCGGCGGAGGGCAAUCGUUGCUCAGAUCUUCGUCGGCUUGAGGAUGUACGGUAGUUACAAGCUCCCCAAGCACUAUGAUAACAAAGAGGUUCUUAAAGCUCUAUGUAAUGAAACGGGUUGGAUCGUUGAAGAAGAUGGAAUAUUUUAUAGAAUGGUACUGUUCAAAUUCAUUUCCUCUGAUUAUGCAAUUUCUGAUCAAUUUUUUAAACAUUACUUUUAUGGUAAAUUUGGCAUCAUGUACUCUUCAUUUUAAUUUUAUGCACCAUUUGGACGAGUUUUAAGAAUUCUGAUGCUGGGAUCCUUUUACAGGCAUCUGUCAAAAAGGAAAACCAGAAAUUGUUCUUUUUUUUCUAAAAAAAAAAAAAAUGCAGUAAUGAGAUUUGUAUGCUCCUUUGGAGCUUCAGAGGGUAGAGAUUAUUAUCGUGUUGUGGGAACAUUCAGUAUAGCCUUGUAUAUGUAAUCGAAGUAAUAUACUUAACUUGUG